ACAGAGGGUGCAAGCGUUGUUCGGAAUUAUUGGGCGUAAAGGGCGCGUAGGCGGUGCGGUAAGUCUGUAGUGAAAUCUCUGGGCUCAACUCAGAGUCUGCUGCAGAAACUGCCGUGCUUGAGUAUGGGAGAGGGAGGUGGAAUUUCAGGUGUAGCGGUGAAAUGCGUAGAUAUCUGAAGGAACAUCAGUGGCGAAAGCGACCUCCUGGACCAAUACUGACGCUCAGGUGCGAAAGCGUGGGGAGCAAACAGGA
RNAcentral lists this ribosomal RNA (253 nucleotides) under uncultured prokaryote. RNAcentral's name for it is "partial 16S ribosomal RNA". It matches the Rfam family "Bacterial small subunit ribosomal RNA", at positions 525 to 777 of the family's 1533-position model. The record is from RNAcentral.